GCCAAAGGAAGAACAAAGGAAGGAAAAGAAAGAACAAACCCUAGGUGGAGAAUUUCAAGAGAAAAAGUGUGAAAAAUCAAGGAAAACAAGUGAAAAAGGUAGGAUAUCUCAAUUUAAACUUGAAAUCUAUUUUCCUUAAGCAUUUGUCCUUAGUUUUCAUGGUUAAAUUAUAUGUUUUCAUGGUGAAUUCAUGGCUAGCCGAAUGGGUAUGGAGAGAGAAUGAUGUUGGAUUGAUUUGAUUUCAAGUUAUGUUGGUGUUUUUAGUUAGUUUACCAUGUCUAGAAGCAAAACAACAAAAAAAGAAUUCAUUUUCCUCAUCACCCAUCAAUGGCCGAACCUACCUUGUAUUGAGUGAGGAUGAAUUUGAUUUUUAUUUUAAGAGAAUUGGUUAGAAAAUGAUGAAUUAUGGUGUGAAAAAGUAGCAGAAAAAAUCACGGUCUUAAUGCACCAUUAUUGACCAUAAAUUCUAAAAAGAAAAGUGAAGAUGGAUUUGCCAAAUUUUAGGUUAUUUGACUUGUGUUUGGUGAAUUAAGAAUUGGAAAAAAUAUGGAGUUAAUUGGAGUUAAAUUGGACGUAUUGGCCAAUUAAUCGGGGGAUAGAUCGAAUUAGGCCAAUACCGAUUUAUUUAGGUACACAAGUGAAUUUAUAUUAAACACCGUAUUUAGAUAGUUACCCAACUAUUUCACAUCCCAUUUCAUGCAUUAGUAUAGAGCUUGAAUUGGUUUUAUAAUAAUUUAGCACAAAUGUAGUAAAUGGCUUAUUGUGCAUUAUGUCUAGGUGGUGAGCAUUCUAGCAAAAGUAAAGAGAUAGUACCCGAGGAUCAGGAAUCGGAGUACUCAAAAUUCGACUCUCGAAACAGUGAGUAACCUUACUAUCGUCUUAAUUAUCUAAAGUGGUUUUUAUUCGAUUUUAUGAAUUUCAUGGAAAAUGAAUUAAAUGAUUAAUUUUUCAGUUUUAUAAACCAAAUGUGAUUUAAUGAAAUGAUUUCAUAAAAUUGUUUUAAAAUUGAAUAAUGGCUUUGAAAUAGAGUAAUUGGAGACCACUUGAUAUGUUGUAAAUUUAUGAUUUUAAUUGAUUGGCUUAUGGCAAUAUUGGCAUGAAUGGUUGAAUUGCUAAAUGUGCUAAAAAUGCAUGAAUUAUUGAUUUACCUUGAGAGGCUGUAAAAUAAAAUAAUUGCCAUGUCAUGCUAAUGCAAAUUUUAUUGUAUGGUGGGUUUAGCUUGCUGCAGUGGGCUGGUUCUAUGGACUAGCCUAUUAAAGGGGCACGGAACCUGGUCAUAUUCUUACUUCGGUUGGAGAGGCGAGUAGGGUAACUCUCGAGGUAUAACUUUAGAGUUCACUUCAUUCCAAACCACCUCGUGAUGAUGAACUCCGUUAACGCCAAGGAACGGCUAUGUUUUUAAAAUAAAAACAUGAUUUAUGAGUACAUAACUUUUUAAUAGCCUUGGCGGACUCGGUUUGGGAUAGCCCACGGCCAAGGUAUCCCUGAUAACUGAGUAUGAGAAUGAUUUUGGCACGAGCCAAAUCUUUUAAGAAAUUCAUAAGCCAUGUUAAUUACUCGAUUUAUAUGAAUUGAUUUUAUUUGGUUGAAACUUGUUGAAAGGUGAUGAAUUACAGUAUGUUAAACUAUUUUAUCUGUCUCCAUUUACUCGGCUUUAGAUAUUUUAGAUGGUAUUUGUUUACUCACUGGGAUUAUAUAAUCUCACCACCUUCCUUUCCACCUAUUUCAGGCUCAGAAUAGAUUGUAGAUAACUGAUAUCGUCGAAAACUACAGUUGGACUCGCCACAUCCAAAAACUAUAGGUUCAUUUCUUUUGAUACUUUUAGUCAUUCGUGGGCCCAUGUGUCACUGUAAAUUAAAUUUUAUACUUUGGUUAUCUAUAUUACAGUAUGUAUGAAUUUAUUUAGCUUUUAUGCUAUAAAAAUUAUUUACCG
RNAcentral lists this long non-coding RNA (1933 nucleotides) under Theobroma cacao (cacao). RNAcentral describes it as "long non-coding RNA (TCAC_LNC002413)". The record is from RNAcentral. Lineage: Eukaryota; Viridiplantae; Streptophyta; Magnoliopsida; Malvales; Malvaceae.